AGAGUUUGAUCAUGGCUCAGAUUGAACGCUGGCGGCAGGCCUAACACAUGCAAGUCGAGCGGUAGCACAGAGAGCUUGCUCUCGGGUGACGAGCGGCGGACGGGUGAGUAAUGUCUGGGAAACUGCCUGAUGGAGGGGGAUAACUACUGGAAACGGUAGCUAAUACCGCAUAACGUCGCAAGACCAAAGUGGGGGACCUUCGGGCCUCAUGCCAUCAGAUGUGCCCAGAUGGGAUUAGCUAGUAGGUGGGGUAACGGCUCACCUAGGCGACGAUCCCUAGCUGGUCUGAGAGGAUGACCAGCCACACUGGAACUGAGACACGGUCCAGACUCCUACGGGAGGCAGCAGUGGGGAAUAUUGCACAAUGGGCGCAAGCCUGAUGCAGCCAUGCCGCGUGUGUGAAGAAGGCCUUCGGGUUGUAAAGCACUUUCAGCGGGGAGGAAGGCGUUAAGGUUAAUAACCUUGGCGAUUGACGUUACCCGCAGAAGAAGCACCGGCUAACUCCGUGCCAGCAGCCGCGGUAAUACGGAGGGUGCAAGCGUUAAUCGGAAUUACUGGGCGUAAAGCGCACGCAGGCGGUCUGUCAAGUCGGAUGUGAAAUCCCGGGCUCAACCUGGGAACUGCAUUCGAAACUGGCAGGCUAGAGUCUUGUAGAGGGGGUAGAAUUCCAGGUGUAGCGGUGAAAUGCGUAGAGAUCUGGAGGAAUACCGGUGGCGAAGGCGGCCCCCUGGACAAAGACUGACGCUCAGGUGCGAAAGCGUGGGGAGCAAACAGGAUUAGAUACCCUGGUAGUCCACGCCGUAAACGAUGUCGAUUUGGAGGUUGUGCCCUUGAGGCGUGGCUUCCGGAGCUAACGCGUUAAAUCGACCGCCUGGGGAGUACGGCCGCAAGGUUAAAACUCAAAUGAAUUGACGGGGGCCCGCACAAGCGGUGGAGCAUGUGGUUUAAUUCGAUGCAACGCGAAGAACCUUACCUGGUCUUGACAUCCACAGAACUUUCCAGAGAUGGAUUGGUGCCUUCGGGAACUGUGAGACAGGUGCUGCAUGGCUGUCGUCAGCUCGUGUUGUGAAAUGUUGGGUUAAGUCCCGCAACGAGCGCAACCCUUAUCCUUUGUUGCCAGCGGUCCGGCCGGGAACUCAAAGGAGACUGCCAGUGAUAAACUGGAGGAAGGUGGGGAUGACGUCAAGUCAUCAUGGCCCUUACGACCAGGGCUACACACGUGCUACAAUGGCAUAUACAAAGAGAAGCGACCUCGCGAGAGCAAGCGGACCUCAUAAAGUAUGUCGUAGUCCGGAUUGGAGUCUGCAACUCGACUCCAUGAAGUCGGAAUCGCUAGUAAUCGUAGAUCAGAAUGCUACGGUGAAUACGUUCCCGGGCCUUGUACACACCGCCCGUCACACCAUGGGAGUGGGUUGCAAAAGAAGUAGGUAGCUUAACCUUCGGGAGGGCGCUUACCACUUUGUGAUUCAUGACUGGGGUGAAGUCGUAACAAGGUAACCGUAGGGGAACCUGCGGUUGGAUCACCU
RNAcentral lists this ribosomal RNA (1526 nucleotides) under Klebsiella pneumoniae subsp. pneumoniae. Its description in RNAcentral is "bacterial SSU rRNA". It matches the Rfam family "Bacterial small subunit ribosomal RNA". Lineage: Bacteria; Pseudomonadati; Pseudomonadota; Gammaproteobacteria; Enterobacterales; Enterobacteriaceae. The record is from RNAcentral.